Long non-coding RNA from Metopolophium dirhodum (rose-grain aphid), 2720 nucleotides. RefSeq lists it as uncharacterized. NCBI's taxonomy places the organism in Eukaryota, Metazoa, Arthropoda, Insecta, Hemiptera, Aphididae. The transcript is spliced from 5 exons. The record is from RefSeq and is a predicted model, not a curated record.
AUUAUUGUUUUCUCGUACGGCACCAUCUAUUUUGUCAUGGCUGGACGUACAUUCGUUCGAAGAGCGAAACGUUGCAAAGUAUUAUAAUAUUCUUUAUCAAUUAUAAAAAAAAUAUUUCAAAUCAUCUUAUCAAUAAAUUAUCAACACACAAAAUGAUAGUGAACACCGAACCUGCAUGAUACAAGAAAUAUAAUAUCAAAAAAUACAUUAUUGAGAUUUGACAAUUUAUAUAAGUUAAAACAUCGAUGACGAGUAGGUAGGUAAUGAAUGACGUGUUUCUUUGUUUUUUAAGCCUCCAUAGUUCAGGCUUCAAUAAACAUAUUUUUAAGCAAUGUUUGCUAAUCAAAUAGUAGUUAAAACAGUAAAAAUGUAUAACUUAAAUAUUUUAAUUUUAAACAAAUAUGAUACUGUACUGUAUUGCCGAAUCUAUAUAUUAUGGUGCCAGUAUAGCAUGCGACACAAAAUUAGCUAAAUUGAUAACAUAUAAAAAAACACUAACUGUUUACCUAUAUCAAGUAAAAAACAUUUGGAUUCAAAAUACAAUAUAAAAUAUAAACAUACAUGAUUUAAAAGGAUCUAGAUGUCACUGUUAAAGAAUACAACACAACCUUGUACUGUAAUAAGCUUCCAAACCAAUAAAAACAAUUGAUUAAAAAUUCUAAAAAAAAAUGUUGGAUUCAAAUACCAAAGUAUACUGAAGCAUGUAAUAUACUAGUAAUUGAACAAAUUGUCUUCAUUAAAUGUUUAUGAAGUGCAGUUCUUAGCCCUAAUACUAAACUCAAUAAAUGUGUUGUAAUGGACAUUAAUGUUAUGGAAUACCUAUAAAUACCAACAUGUUCCUACACAUCUCAAAUAAAAAGCAAAAUGGCUGUUUCCCUGUUAUUGUACAAAGUCCUCCCGGCCGACGAAAAUUCUUCAACCAGCCAAACAUGACUCGGAUACUCAAUGCAUUUUGUCCGAGACCGCUGACCAGCUCCAUUAAGUCUCAACCCGAGGAAGCAUACCACACCGGCACCUCGUUUUCGACCGUUUUUUCAUCGUAUCCAAUAUAUUUUGAUGCCAUCGUAUAGUACAACCAUAAUUACCUGAACAACAACAAUAAGUGCCCUGGCGGGCGUAGCAGCGACAAACGACAAUCCAUUGGAUACAACUCAAUUCACCUGUUGUCAAGUAUACUCUCCCCUUAACCUUCCCAUUUUUUGCAACGCGGUCCGUUGUAUUCAAACAAAUAUUAAAAUAUUUUUUCUUACAGAAAACUAUACAAAUUUAAUGAAUCAUAUUUUGCGCAAUGCACGAGUAUCCAGUGGAACCUAAACGCAAAAAUACCAUAAUAUUAGCUGUCAUGUUAAAAUAUAUCCAGAUUUAUCCUCAUAAUCCCCAAAUUGUAUUAUAUACAAAUGUAUUUGCCAUGUUGCCCCCAAUUAUCAUAUUCCCAUGACUGAUAUUUUAUAUUAUUAUUAUCCCCCCCCCCCCCCAAAAAAAAAACCUAUUAUAUUAUUUGUUGUUUUGAUGCCAUGUAAAAUAAAACCACUUAAUUACCUUUAAGAAAACUCUUUUUAUUAUUAUUGGUGUCACCUAUUCUCAGAUAUAAUUAAUAUUAUUAAUUUCAAAUAAAGUCACUAUGCAGAAAAAAAAUAAAGUACUUUGUCUUAAAAAUUUCUUAUGUAAAUUGACCUGACAACUAAAUUAUGUUUCUUCAAUAUUCAAACAAUGUUAAAAUUUUAGUAAUAAUAUUAUAAAGAAUAUUAUAAUAACAUUUUUUAAAGAUUCAUUAAAAUUAUGAUAAAAUUAUCAUGGUAAAAAAAUUAUGUUUCUAUAAUGUUGUUUCAUAACAUUAUAAGCAAUAUAUAGCUUUUUAACAUUUCCACUUAAACAUUAAUGUUUUAGAUAUUUUAAUAAUGUACUAAUAUUCAGAAAACAUUUUCACAAGUACAAAGAAAUAUAAAAAUCAAAUAUUAUAUUUAAACAAUAAGCUGUAAGUUUAAUUAUAAUAUAUCAUUCUUGUUGAUUAAUUUUUAAUAUAAAUGAACACAAUUUAAUUAGGUUGUUUUGAAUUUUGAAUUUAUUUUUAAUGCGAAACGUCGCAUGUGUCAAGGCAGUUGUGUUAUGUUUAUAACAUAUUAUGUUUUUUCGGAAUAUUAUUGUACUUGAUGUUCGUUAUAAUUGGCAGUUGCAUCUGAACAAAUUGUUUAUAACUUUUAUUUAAUUUAAAUGUUUAAAUAUAUUAUUUGUUGUAGUAAACAAUAUGGUAUUAUAAUUUAUAUUUUAUAUUUAUUUUACACAGAUGACAUUUAAUUUAUAUUAGACAUUAUUUAUGUUAUACACAGAUAAAAUUAAAUUUAUAGUACCUACACAUUGUAAAUAAGUUACAUUCCUCCAUCAAGACUACAAUAUGCAAUUGGAGUUAAUUAAAUUGGUAAAUUUACUACCAUUAUUGUGAUUUUCUUUAUUAGUAAUUUUUAAUUAAGGCACCCGGUGCUGGCUAUUUAUUAAGGAGCAAAUUAUUGGCAACCUAAUUGACAUAUCGUUACGUGGUCGCACGAUCUCGUGAGUGUGUACUGUGUGUUUGUGCAGUAGUGUAGAUGGUUACGCCCACGCACUCAAUACAUGUCAGGAGGUAAUAAAAUAUAGUUGACCGUUUAGGGUAUUUCAGCGGACAAUAACAACUUCACAGGAAUAUGGAUAACUCGUGGACAACUGAAUAUUUUCAGAUAAUUAAA